CAGUCGCCGCGGGAAUACGAAGGGUGCAAGCGUUAAUCGGAAUUACUGGGCGUAAAGCGUGCGUAGGCGGUUUGUUAAGUCUGCUGUGAAAUCCCCGGGCUCAACCUGGGAAUGGCAGUGGAUACUGGCAAGCUAGAGUGUGUCAGAGGAUAGUGGAAUUCCCGGUGUAGCGGUGAAAUGCGUAGAGAUCGGGAGGAACAUCAGUGGCGAAGGCGGCCAUCUGGGACAACACUGACGCUGAGGCACGAAAGCGUGGGGAGCAAACAGGAUUAGAUACCCCCGUAGUCCCUGUCUCUUAUAC
This 301-nucleotide ribosomal RNA is filed under the name uncultured bacterium. Its description in RNAcentral is "partial 16S ribosomal RNA". It matches the Rfam family "Bacterial small subunit ribosomal RNA", at positions 509 to 807 of the family's 1533-position model. The record is from RNAcentral.